CCCUGUGGCUCAGUUGGUAGAGCAUGGUGUUUGCAACGCCAGGGUUGUGGGUUUGAUUCCCACAGGGG
Molecule: non-coding RNA, 68 nt
Organism: Salmo salar (Atlantic salmon)
Lineage: Eukaryota; Metazoa; Chordata; Actinopteri; Salmoniformes; Salmonidae
Source: Rfam